CCUACGGGGGGCAGUAGUGAGGAAUAUUGGUCAAUGGACGCAAGUCUGAACCAGCCAUGCCGCGUGCAGGAAGACGGCUCUAUGAGUUGUAAACUGCUUUUGUACGGGGGUAAACGCAGAAACGUGUAUCUGUCUGAAAGUAACGGACGAAUAAGGAUCGGCUAACUCCGUGCCAGCAGCCGCGGUAAUACGGAGGAUUCAAGCGUUAUCCGGAUUUAUUGGGUUUAAAGGGUGCGUAGGCGGUCGGAUAAGUUAGAGGUGAAAGCCCGAGGGUCAACUUCGGAAUUGCCUCUGAUACUGUUCGGCUAGAGAGUAGGUGCGGUAGGCGGAAUGUAUGGUGUAGCAGUGAAAUGCUUAGAGAU
RNAcentral lists this ribosomal RNA (362 nucleotides) under uncultured bacterium. RNAcentral's name for it is "partial 16S ribosomal RNA". It matches the Rfam family "Bacterial small subunit ribosomal RNA", at positions 338 to 697 of the family's 1533-position model. The record is from RNAcentral.